AGGAUGAACGCUAGCGGCAGGCCUAACACAUGCAAGUCGAGGGGCAUCGCGUGCAGCAAUGCACUGGCGGCGACCGGCGUACGGGUGCGUAACGCGUAUGCAACCUGCCCCGCACCGGGGGAUAGCCCGCCGAAAGGCGGAUUAAUACCCCAUGGCCCCGGGGGCCCGCAUGGGCAUCCGGGUAAAGCCUUGGCGGUGCGGGAUGGGCAUGCGUGCCAUUAGCUGGCUGGUGGGGUAACGGCCCACCAGGGCAACGAUGGCUAGGGGGUCUGAGAGGAUGGUCCCCCACACUGGUACUGAGACACGGACCAGACUCCUACGGGAGGCAGCAGUGAGGAAUAUUGGUCAAUGGGCGGAAGCCUGAACCAGCCAUGCCGCGUGCGGGAUGAAGGCCCUACGGGUUGUAAACUGCUUUUCCCCGGGGCGAAUAACCCCCUCGCGAGGGGGGAUGCCGGUACCGGGGGAAUAAGGAUCGGCUAACUCCGUG
This 487-nucleotide ribosomal RNA is filed under the name uncultured bacterium. RNAcentral's name for it is "bacterial SSU rRNA". It matches the Rfam family "Bacterial small subunit ribosomal RNA", at positions 26 to 507 of the family's 1533-position model. The record is from RNAcentral.